AAAAGAUUUAAUGCCUCAAGAUUACUUUAACUCUUUCCCCAAGCAGAUGCCAAGUUCAAGCAUUUGGCUCUUAAAAACUCCUAUUAUUAAGAAAUACUGUGUUGCUUGCUAGGAAAAAAGCUUUUAAGACCCAGUAAAAAAACUAACCUGCUUAGGACAUGACAAAGUUGGCACAUGUGCCUGUACUGGUUUAACACAGGUUUGAUCCUAGGUCUUUAUUUAAAAGAUAGUUUCCAGCUAUAAGAGAAUUUAAAACCCUCACUGCAAGUGUAUUACAUAAAACACUAUCACUCUGUCUCCCAAAGAGACUCAAAGUAAAAAUAAAAGCGAGAACUCCCACUAAUUUGUGAAAAUUCUCAAAGGAAGGGAUAAGGAGACCACUACUACUCCUGCUGCCCUCCUCCCUGCCACCUUGCCUAGUUCAUAAGACAGGAGGAAAAGAGAGAAAGCAAAAAGUUAGAAAGAAACAAAAGUCAGAUAAAUAGCCAGACAACCUUGGCACCACCACGUGGCCCUAGGAGUUAAAAAAAAUAAUAAUAAUAACAUCAACCCCCGACCUAAACUACUUGUGUUAUCUGUAAAUUCCAGACAUUGUAUGAAAAAAGCAUUGCAAAACUUUCUGUUCUGUUAGCUGAUUCAUGUAGCCCCCAGUCACGUUUCCCAUGCUUGCUCAAUUUAUCACGACCCUUUCACGUGGACCCUUAAAGUCGUAAGCCUUUAAACAGGCCAAGAAUUUCUUUUUUGGGGAGCUCAGCUCUUAAGACGCAAGUCUGCCGAUGCUCCCGGCCGAAUAAAC
RNAcentral lists this long non-coding RNA (796 nucleotides) under Homo sapiens (human). RNAcentral's name for it is "HSALNT0068827". The record is from RNAcentral. Lineage: Eukaryota; Metazoa; Chordata; Mammalia; Primates; Hominidae.